GUGAACGCUGGCGGUAGGCCUAACACAUGCCAGUCGAACGGCAGCACCGUAAGAGCUUGCUCUUACGGGUGGCGAGUGGCGGACGGGUGAGGAAUACAUCGGAAUCUACUUUUUCGUGGGGGAUAACGUAGGGAAACUUACGCUAAUACCGCAUACGACCUACGGGUGAAAGCAGGGGAUCUUCGGACCUUGCGCGAUUGAAUGAGCCGAUGUCGGAUUAGCUAGUUGGCGGGGUAAAGGCCCACCAAGGCGACGAUCCGUAGCUGGUCUGAGAGGAUGAUCAGCCACACUGGAACUGAGACACGGUCCAGACUCCUACGGGAGGCAGCAGUGGGGAAUAUAGGACAAUGGGCGCAAGCCUGAUCCAGCCAUACCGCGUGGGUGAAGAAGGCCUUCGGGUUGUAAAGCCCUUUUGUUGGGAAAGAAAAGCAGCAGGUUAAUACCCCGCUGUUCUGACGGUACCCAAAGAAUAAGCACCGGCUAACUUCGUG
This 491-nucleotide ribosomal RNA is filed under the name uncultured bacterium. RNAcentral's name for it is "partial 16S ribosomal RNA". It matches the Rfam family "Bacterial small subunit ribosomal RNA", at positions 29 to 507 of the family's 1533-position model. The record is from RNAcentral.